GGGCCCGCACAAGCGGUGGAGCAUGUGGUUUAAUUCGAUGAUACGCGAGGAACCUUACCAGGGCUUAAAUGUAGUCUGACAGGGGUGGAAACACCCCCUCCUUCGGGCAGAUUACAAGGUGCUGCAUGGUUGUCGUCAGCUCGUGCCGUGAGGUGUCAGGUUAAGUCCUAUAACGAGCGCAACCCCCUGCCGUUAGUUGCCAGCAUGUAAUGAUGGGAACUCUAACGGGACUGCCGGUGCAAACCGCGAGGAAGGUGGGAUGACGUCAAAUCAUCACGGCCCUUACGUCCUGGGCUACACACGUGCUACAAUGGCCGGUACAGAGGGCAGCCACACGCAAGGUGGAGCGAAUCCUUAAAACCGGUCUC
Molecule: ribosomal RNA, 368 nt
Filed under: uncultured bacterium
Lineage: Bacteria
Description: bacterial SSU rRNA
Rfam family: Bacterial small subunit ribosomal RNA
Source: RNAcentral